GCUGAAAUAGCUCAGUUGGGAGAGUGUUAGACUGAAGAUCUGAAGGUCCCUGGUUCAAUCCUGGAUUUCAGCA
RNAcentral lists this transfer RNA (73 nucleotides) under Perca fluviatilis (European perch). It matches the Rfam family "tRNA". Rfam says of the family: Transfer RNA (tRNA) molecules are approximately 80 nucleotides in length. Their secondary structure includes four short double-helical elements and three loops (D, anti-codon, and T loops). The record is from Rfam by way of RNAcentral. Lineage: Eukaryota; Metazoa; Chordata; Actinopteri; Perciformes; Percidae.